UAGGCGGACGGGUGAGUAACGCGUGGGUAACCUGCCUCACACAGGGGGAUAACAGUUGGAAACGACCGCUAAUACCGCAUAACCCGCUGGUAUCGCAUGAUACUGACGGAAAAGAUUUUAUCGGUGUGAGAUGGACCCGCGUCUGAUUAGCCAGUUGGCAGGGUAACGGCCUACCAAAGCGACGAUCAGUAGCCGGCCUGAGAGGGUGAACGGCCACAUUGGGACUGAGACACGGCCCAAACUCCUACGGGAGGCAGCAG
This 260-nucleotide ribosomal RNA is filed under the name uncultured bacterium. RNAcentral describes it as "partial 16S ribosomal RNA". It matches the Rfam family "Bacterial small subunit ribosomal RNA", at positions 95 to 354 of the family's 1533-position model. The record is from RNAcentral.